Molecule: ribosomal RNA, 255 nt
Filed under: uncultured bacterium
Lineage: Bacteria
Description: partial 16S ribosomal RNA
Rfam family: Bacterial small subunit ribosomal RNA
Source: RNAcentral
GCAAGUCGAGGGGUAACAGGAAAUAGCUUGCUAUUUUGCUGACGACCGGCGCACGGGUGCGUAACGCGUAUAGAACCUACCUUUUACAGGAGAAUAGCCCAGAGAAAUUUGGAUUAAUGCUCCAUAGUAUUAUUGAAUGGCAUCAUUUAAUAAUUAAACAUUUAUGGGUAAAAGAUGGCUAUGCGUUCUAUUAGCUAGAUGGUAAGGUAACGGCUUACCAUGGCAACGAUAGAUAGGGGUCCUGAGAGGGAGAUC